Molecule: transfer RNA, 73 nt
Filed under: Nitrososphaerota archaeon
Lineage: Archaea; Thermoproteati; Nitrososphaerota
Description: tRNA-Val
Rfam family: tRNA
About the family: Transfer RNA (tRNA) molecules are approximately 80 nucleotides in length. Their secondary structure includes four short double-helical elements and three loops (D, anti-codon, and T loops).
Source: RNAcentral
GGGCCGGUGGUCUAGCGGUGAUGACGUCGCGCUUACAACGCGGAGGUCAGCGGUUCGAAUCCGCUCCGGCCCA